GAAAAUCCUAGUGUGGUCCAUGGUGAUUCUGAUGAUAAGACAACUGUAGAAACUGAAGUAACUGCUGUGGCCAGGAAAGAUGGACAAACAGCCAUGGUUAAUUAAGCAGAGAACUAAAUGUAAAUUCUUGAGAGUCUGUUUAUUACCUAACUGAUACACACUGCAGCAGCAACAUUUAUCAGGUGGGAAGAUGACUACUGAGAGCACUGUUGGUUGAUUAGGUGACUGUAUUUUAGAGCCUUCUGUGCAUCAUCGAUGGGCACUGUUGCUUAGCAAGGUUGAUUCUUUUUCUCACCUGCUGAUAUAGCUUGAGCUUGCUCUCUCUCUUCCGAAAGUGGUGAUGAAUAGGGUCUUGUUUUCCGCCUUUCCUAUCUGGUAAUCCAAUGCCUUUAUUAAUUAUUAGUUUCUAGCCUUCUACCUUCUAGCUUCGCCUUAGUAAUUGAUCUACAAACUGGAAUUGUCACCUGAUACUUGGACCCUUUUUUAGCACGAUUUAUAUCCAUAAAAUUUUUUCCUUUUCACAUGAAUGCC
RNAcentral lists this long non-coding RNA (531 nucleotides) under Manihot esculenta (cassava). RNAcentral's name for it is "long non-coding RNA (MESC_LNC003471)". Lineage: Eukaryota; Viridiplantae; Streptophyta; Magnoliopsida; Malpighiales; Euphorbiaceae. The record is from RNAcentral.